This 69-nucleotide transfer RNA is filed under the name Marmota marmota marmota (Alpine marmot). It matches the Rfam family "tRNA". From Rfam's summary of the family: Transfer RNA (tRNA) molecules are approximately 80 nucleotides in length. Their secondary structure includes four short double-helical elements and three loops (D, anti-codon, and T loops). Further hydrogen bonds mediate the characteristic L-shaped molecular structure. tRNAs have two regions of fundamental functional importance: the anti-codon, which is responsible for specific mRNA codon recognition, and the 3' end, to which the tRNAs corresponding amino acid is attached (by aminoacyl-tRNA synthetases). tRNAs cope with the degeneracy of the genetic code in two manners: having more than one tRNA (with a specific anti-codon) for a particular amino acid; and 'wobble' base-pairing, i.e. permitting non-standard base-pairing at the 3rd anti-codon position. Lineage: Eukaryota; Metazoa; Chordata; Mammalia; Rodentia; Sciuridae. RNAcentral also lists the same sequence under 2 other names. The record is from Rfam by way of RNAcentral.
GGGGUUGUGGCUCAGUGGUAGAGCACUCACCUAGCACAUGUGAGGCACUGGGUUUGAUCCUCAGCACCA